This 355-nucleotide RNase P RNA is filed under the name Leptospiraceae bacterium. Its description in RNAcentral is "RNase P RNA component class A". It matches the Rfam family "Bacterial RNase P class A". From Rfam's summary of the family: Ribonuclease P (RNase P) is a ubiquitous endoribonuclease, found in archaea, bacteria and eukarya as well as chloroplasts and mitochondria. Its best characterised activity is the generation of mature 5'-ends of tRNAs by cleaving the 5'-leader elements of precursor-tRNAs. The record is from RNAcentral. RNAcentral also lists the same sequence under 1 other name. Lineage: Bacteria; Pseudomonadati; Spirochaetota; Leptospiria; Leptospirales; Leptospiraceae.
GAGGUGUACCAGGUCGUCGCGCGAACCGACUCAGUCGGGAGUGAGGAAAGUCCGGACACCCCAGGACAGGGAACCGGGUAACACCCGGGCGAUCGUCUCAGACGAUCGACGGAAAGUGCAACAGAAAGUAUACCGCCCUCUUCGGAGGGUAAGGGUGAAAAGGCGAGGUAAGAGCUCACCGCGCAUCCGGUAACGAAUGCGGCAUGGCAAACCCUUCCCGGUGCAAUCUCAUGUAGGUGACCUUUGGGCCGGUCCGGUCCGGUCACGGGUAGAGAGCAAAGAGCACGGGAGCAAUCCCGUCGCCAGGAUAAAUGACGGCCCUCGACAGAAUCCGGCUUAUCGGUGCGCCUCUCCC